UCUGGUGCUAAUACAUGCGAUUGUUUCUCCAGAUGUGAAUUAUGAGGAAAAGUUGACCUCAUCAGAGGCACGCCAUUCGACUGAGUGACCUAUCAGCUUGUACUUAGGGUCUUUACCUAGGUAGGCUAUCACGGGUAACGGGCGGUUACCGUCGGACUGCCGGAGAAGGCGCCUGAGAGAUAGCGACUAUAUCCACGGGUAGCAGCAGGCGCGAAACUUUCCCACUCGAGACUUUCGGAGGAGGUAAUGACCAGUUCCAUUGGUGCCUUUUGGUACUGUGGAUAGGGGUACGGUUUUCCACCGUACCGAAACCUAGCAGAGGGCCAGUCUGGUGCCAGCAGCUGCGGUAAUUCCAGCUCUGCGAGUUUGCUCCCAUAUUGUUGCAGUUAAAACGCCCGUAGUCUGAAUUGGCCAGCAAUGGUCGUACGUAUUUUUACGUUCACUGUGAACAAAUCAGGACGCUUAGAGUAUGGCCACAUGAAUGACUCAGCGCAGUAUGAAGUCUUUGUUUUCUUCCGAAAACAAGCUCAAUGAGAGCCAUCGGGGGUAGAUCUAUCUCAUGACGAGUGGUGGAAUACUUUGACUCAUGAGAGAGAAGCUGAGGCGAAGGCGUCUACCUAGAGGGUUUCUGUCGAUCAAGGGCGAGAGUAGGAGUAUCCAACAGGAUUAGAGACCCUGGUAGUUCCUACCUUAAACGAUGCCGACAGGAGUUUGUCAUUUGUUAAUGGCAGAAUCUUUGGAGAAAUCAUAGUUCUUGGGCUCUGGGGGAACUACGACCGCAAGGCUGAAACUUGAAGGAAUUGACGGAAGGGCACACCAGGGGUGGAGCCUGUGGCUUAAUUUGAAUCAACACGGGGAAACUUACCAGGACCAGAUGUUUUUUAUGACUGACAGGCUUCGGGU
RNAcentral lists this non-coding RNA (903 nucleotides) under Trichomonas vaginalis G3. Its description in RNAcentral is "Eukaryotic small subunit ribosomal RNA". It matches the Rfam family "Eukaryotic small subunit ribosomal RNA", at positions 157 to 1255 of the family's 1831-position model. The record is from Rfam by way of RNAcentral. Lineage: Eukaryota; Parabasalia; Trichomonadida; Trichomonadidae.